RNAcentral lists this ribosomal RNA (491 nucleotides) under uncultured bacterium. RNAcentral describes it as "partial 16S ribosomal RNA". It matches the Rfam family "Bacterial small subunit ribosomal RNA", at positions 29 to 507 of the family's 1533-position model. The record is from RNAcentral.
GUGAACGCUGGCGGUAGGCCUAACACAUGCAAGUCGAACGGCAGCACAGUAAGAGCUUGCUCUUACGGGUGGCGAGUGGCGGACGGGUGAGGAAUACAUCGGAAUCUACUUUUUCGUGGGGGAUAACGUAGGGAAACUUACGCUAAUACCGCAUACGACCUACGGGUGAAAGCAGGGGAUCUUCGGACCUUGCGCGAUUGAAUGAGCCGAUGUCGGAUUAGCUAGUUGGCGGGGUAAAGGCCCACCAAGGCGACGAUCCGUAGCUGGUCUGAGAGGAUGAUCAGCCACACUGGAACUGAGACACGGUCCAGACUCCUACGGGAGGCAGCAGUGGGGAAUAUUGGACAAUGGGCGCAAGCCUGAUUCAGCCAUACCGCGUGGGUGAAGAAGGCCUUCGGGUUGUAAAGCCCUUUUGUUGGGAAAGAAAAGCAGCAGGUUAAUACCCCGCUGUUCUGACGGUACCCAAAGAAUAAGCACCGGCUAACUUCGUG